ACCAAUUUAGUCCCUUUUCACUUUUCACACAUAUCAAGAUAAUGCAUUUAAUCUUCUUUAAAAGAAAUACUAAGUUUUAUGUUUUUAUUUUUUAUACUCUUAUUUAUUAUUUUCACAUUUAAGUGAAACAUUAAAUAAGGUAAUUUAGUAAAAUAAUAUUUUUAUAUUAUAUUAAUUAAAAAAAUAGAUUAUCUUUGGAACAUCUCAAAAAAAAAAAAAUAAGGGACUAAUCUAUAUAUUAUAUAAAAAGCCAGUUUAACAGAAUCUAACCUACCGUCAUUUUUUAACAUAAUAUUCCACAAGUUUAACGUCUGUUUGUUCCGUAAACAGAUUCAACAAAUUAAAUAUAUUAUAUUCUUUGUAAUGCAUAUCCAAUAAACCACGAUCAUUAAUGGAGUUC
Molecule: long non-coding RNA, 400 nt
Filed under: Salvia miltiorrhiza (redroot sage)
Lineage: Eukaryota; Viridiplantae; Streptophyta; Magnoliopsida; Lamiales; Lamiaceae
Description: long non-coding RNA (SMIL_LNC014167)
Source: RNAcentral